Molecule: ribosomal RNA, 253 nt
Filed under: uncultured bacterium
Lineage: Bacteria
Description: partial 16S ribosomal RNA
Rfam family: Bacterial small subunit ribosomal RNA
Source: RNAcentral
UACGAAGGGGGCUAGCGUUGCUCGGAAUUACUGGGCGUAAAGGGAGCGUAGGCGGACAUUUAAGUCAGAGGUGAAAUCCCGGAGCUUAACUUCGGAACUGCCUUUGAUACUGGGUGUUUUGAGUGUGAGAGAGGUAUGUGGAACUCCGAGUGUAGAGGUGAAAUUCGUAGAUAUUCGGAAGAACACCAGUGGCGAAGGCGACAUGCUGGCUCAUUACUGACGCUGAGGCUCGAAAGCGUGGGGAGCAAACAGG